AGUGAACGCUGGCGGUAGGCCUAACACAUGCAAGUCGAACGGCAGCACAGUAAGAGCUUGCUCUUACGGGUGGCGAGUGGCGGACGGGUGAGGAAUACAUCGGAAUCUACUUUUUCGUGGGGGAUAACGUAGGGAAACUUACGCUAAUACCGCAUACGACGUACGGGUGAAAGCAGGGGAUCUUCGGACCUUGCGCGAUUGAAUGAGCCGAUGUCGGAUUAGCUAGUUGGCGGGGUAAAGGCCCACCAAGGGGACGAUCCGUAGCUGGUCUGAGAGGAUGAUCAGCCACACUGGAGCUGAGACACGGUCCAGACUCCUACGGGACGCACCAGUGGGGAAUAUUGGACAAUGGUCGCAAGCCUGAUCCAGCCAUACCGCGUCGGUGAAGAAGGCCUUCGGUUUGUAAAGCCCUUUUGUUGGGAAAGAACAGCAGCAGGUUAAUACCCCGCUGUUCUGACGGUACCCAAAGAAUAAGCACCGGCUAACUCCGUG
RNAcentral lists this ribosomal RNA (492 nucleotides) under uncultured bacterium. Its description in RNAcentral is "partial 16S ribosomal RNA". It matches the Rfam family "Bacterial small subunit ribosomal RNA", at positions 29 to 507 of the family's 1533-position model. The record is from RNAcentral.